AAGUAAUCGAGGCCAAUAUGUCACGUCACAUCUGAAUCCUUAUGUCAUUCUCUCUUUAUUCUGCAUAUCCAUUAACCCCAUGGAUUGGAUCCAUCCAUCCUUUGGCGUCAUCUCCUAUUAUACUACUCACUCACUCACUCACUCACUCACUACACAAUUUAUUCCUACUAGUUUCAUUCACAUUGAUUAUAUAACAAAAAACAAAAAAAACAAGAGUAAUUUCUCUAUAAAGCCACCUACGUAUGCUAUACAUGCAAAAAGGUCAUAGCUAUUCCAUCCCGUUGAAAAGCAUUUUCUAUUCUAUUUUUAUUUUUUUUUGUCUUCGUUGAAAAGAAAAAAACUCUGUAAUCAGAGAGAUUCUUGUUUUCUAUACAAAAAUAUUUACUAGUUAGAUAUUCUUACGCAAAAAUUGACAAAAAGGCACUGAGGAUAUGUAAAGCUAAC
Molecule: long non-coding RNA, 444 nt
Filed under: Capsella rubella
Lineage: Eukaryota; Viridiplantae; Streptophyta; Magnoliopsida; Brassicales; Brassicaceae
Description: long non-coding RNA (CRUB_LNC001232)
Source: RNAcentral